RNAcentral lists this ribosomal RNA (237 nucleotides) under uncultured bacterium. Its description in RNAcentral is "partial 16S ribosomal RNA". It matches the Rfam family "Bacterial small subunit ribosomal RNA", at positions 118 to 351 of the family's 1533-position model. The record is from RNAcentral.
UGAGUAACCUGCCCUUAACUCUGGGAUAAGCCUGGGAAACUGGGUCUAAUACCGGAUAUGACUCCUCAUCGCAUGGUGGGGGGUGGAAAGCUUUAUUGUGGUUUUGGAUGGACUCGCGGCCUAUCAGCUUGUUGGUGAGGUAAUGGCUCACCAAGGCGACGACGGGUAGCCGGCUGAGAGGGUGACCGGCCACACGUGGGACUGAGACACGGCCCAGACCUCCGUACGGGGAGGCAG